Branchiostoma belcheri (Belcher's lancelet) is the source of this 67-nucleotide non-coding RNA. NCBI's taxonomy places the organism in Eukaryota, Metazoa, Chordata, Leptocardii, Amphioxiformes, Branchiostomatidae. The record is from the annotation of a RefSeq genome assembly.
GAUACUAUAUGGUUUACAAUCAUGUUGCUACCAUGAUUUAUUAAAGUUCAAUUCUUUAAUAGUGUCA